RNAcentral lists this ribosomal RNA (424 nucleotides) under uncultured prokaryote. RNAcentral's name for it is "bacterial SSU rRNA". It matches the Rfam family "Bacterial small subunit ribosomal RNA", at positions 355 to 796 of the family's 1533-position model. The record is from RNAcentral.
UGGGGAAUCUUAGACAAUGGGCGAAAGCCUGAUCUAGCGAUGCCGCGUGUGUGACGAAGGCCUUAGGGUCGUAAAGCACUUUCGCCAGGGAUGAUAAUGACAGUACCUGGUAAAGAAACCCCGGCUAACUCCGUGCCAGCAGCCGCGGUAAUACGGAGGGGGUUAGCGUUGUUCGGAAUUACUGGGCGUAAAGCGCACGUAGGCGGACUAUUAAGUCAGGGGUGAAAUCCAGGGGCUCAACCCCGGAACUGCCUUUGAUACUGGUAGUCUUGAGUUCGAGAGAGGUGAGUGGAAUUCCGAGUGUAGAGGUGAAAUUCGUAGAUAUUCGGAGGAAAAACAGUGGCGAAGGCGGCGCACUGGCUCGAUACUGACGCUGAGGUGCGAAAGCGUGGGGAGCAAACCGGACUAGAUACCCCCGUAGUCC